Molecule: long non-coding RNA, 1253 nt
Organism: Mandrillus leucophaeus (drill)
Lineage: Eukaryota; Metazoa; Chordata; Mammalia; Primates; Cercopithecidae
Exons: 3
Source: RefSeq, a predicted model, not a curated record
AAAGAGAUAGGAAAGAACUGACCUACUUUCUAUGGAGAUUCUUGUAAUAUGUGGGCUCAUUACAUCUGCCUGACCCAGGCUUGGUUCGGUAAAGACACCAUUCCAAGGAGCUCAGCUCACCCCUCUGCCUUGAAUCAUUUUCCCCUAAUCCCAUUUCAAAUGAAAUCAUUCGUUCAUUGCUUCAUUCAGUAGACAUCUAUAGAGCUUGCCUGGUGCUGGGCUCUAGGAACACUAUGAGCUCACAGUACGGUGGUGGAGACAAGCCACCACACACGCAGUUCCCACAAGGUGUCCCCAAGAACUUUGGAGCUCAGAACAGGUGAUACUCACUCCUCCUUUGGGGAGAGGCCGUGGGCAUGGCUUCACUUUUCAGCUGGAUUAUAAAGGAUGUGAAGUUAGCUUUACUGAGCAGGAGGGGAGGGAAGACAGUACUCCAAGAAAGUGGAACGAACAGCAGAGUCCAAAGGGCCCUCCAGCCUACCCAGUCCCAACUACCUGGAAGAAGUUCUCCACAUGUUCCCUUGGGGCCUCCUCCCGGAGUGCAGGGUCAUACAAGUUGAAGGCCCAAUUAAGCCUGUCAUCUACAGUUCCCCGAAGAAUCACGGACAAACCAGCCACAAAGUCCUGGGAAGGAGGCAGGAGGGAGCUGUGUCUUCAGGUACUCUUCACCCAACCCCUUCCCUGGGUUUGGCCUGGAAAUCCUGGCCCUGAAGUCCAGGAAACAGGCUUCCCUGGCCCACCUCGCCCAGCUCACCUCAAAACUGACCGAGCCAUCAUGGUUGGUGUCAAAGGCAUUGAAGAGAAAAGUGGCAUAGGUGCUGGAGUCUGCAGGGUGAGUGUGGAGAAGUUGGCUUCCACACAGGAGAGGACUUCCUCCUUCUAUGGAGCUCCCCAUACCCCCCAUCACCUUGGCAUUCCCAGCCCCUCCAGAAUCCCUCCCUCCCUCAGCCUAGAGAAGGACAGCUGCUGCCCUUUGCGCCUUGUCCCCUCACCUCCUUGAGGAAAGAACUGGGAGUAAAUUUGCUUGAAGUUCUCCUCAUUGACAAUUCCGCUCGGACAUUCCUGGAAGGAGAGAGGGCACCAGGCUGAGGGCAGAGACAAAAUCCCCUUCCAUUCACCACCCCCACCCUCCAUGGCCCAAGACUCCCAGGGAGGGGGAUAAUCUUCAAGCCUCCAGAGGACUCACCACGUGGCUCAUGUGAUGGGAGGCAAGACUUCUUUCCCAGUGCACAAAUAAAAAACAUGGAACGAAA